Molecule: ribosomal RNA, 451 nt
Filed under: uncultured bacterium
Lineage: Bacteria
Description: partial 16S ribosomal RNA
Rfam family: Bacterial small subunit ribosomal RNA
Source: RNAcentral
GUGGGGAAUAUUGGACAAUGGGCGGAAGCCUGAUCCAGCCAUGCCGCGUGUGUGAAGAAGGCCUUUUGGUUGUAAAGCACUUUAAGCGAGGAGGAGGCUCUUAAGGUUAAUACCCUUGAUGAGUGGACGUUACUCGCAGAAUAAGCACCGGCUAACUCUGUGCCAGCAGCCGCGGUAAUACAGAGGGUGCGAGCGUUAAUCGGAUUUACUGGGCGUAAAGCGUGCGUAGGCGGCUGAUUAAGUCGGAUGUGAAAUCCCUGAGCUUAACUUAGGAAUUGCAUUCGAUACUGGUCAGCUAGAGUAUGGGAGAGGAUGGUAGAAUUCCAGGUGUAGCGGUGAAAUGCGUAGAGAUCUGGAGGAAUACCGAUGGCGAAGGCAGCCAUCUGGCCUAAUACUGACGCUGAGGUACGAAAGCAUGGGGAGCAAACAGGAUUAGAUACCCUAGUAGUCC